AGUGUAGGCGGCUGCGUAAGUCGGAUGUGAAAGCCCCGGGCUCAACCUGGGAAUGCCAUUCGAAACUGCGCGGCUAGAGUCUGACAGAGGGAAGUGGAAUUCCGGGUGUAGCGGUGAAAUGCGUAGAUAUCCGGAGGAACAUCAGUGGCGAAGGCGGCUUACUGGACCAAAACUGACGCUGAGGCUCGAAAGCGUGGGGAGCAAACAGGAUUAGAUACCCUGGUAGUCC
This 229-nucleotide ribosomal RNA is filed under the name uncultured bacterium. Its description in RNAcentral is "partial 16S ribosomal RNA". It matches the Rfam family "Bacterial small subunit ribosomal RNA", at positions 568 to 796 of the family's 1533-position model. The record is from RNAcentral.